RNAcentral lists this long non-coding RNA (2443 nucleotides) under Homo sapiens (human). RNAcentral's name for it is "HSALNT0204129". Lineage: Eukaryota; Metazoa; Chordata; Mammalia; Primates; Hominidae. The record is from RNAcentral.
UAAGGGCUUGACUGUGGGCUCAACAGGAAGCAACAUGACCCUUUCACUGGAAGAUCUCUAAAAGUCAGACCAGUUCCACUACAGAAGACUCCUUCAGCUUCCUGCUGGUUGGUGGGGGUAUUCUACGAGCCUGCUUUCUCUUAAAGGAAUUAUUCUGUUAUCAGCUCCACACCCCAAUCCUGACCGCCUUUGUUUCUAUUCUACCUGAAUCUGGGAACACUCUGCCCAGUUUCUCCCAGAAAAUAAAACUCCAAUCUCCUUGGGAGAUUCUAUGACCAUACGUACAAUUUUAGCCCAAGCAUGUCUUUUUGGCUUUGUACCCAUCAGAUACCUGAUGUUUCCAGUGCAGAAUCUCUCAGGGGUUUAUUGGGCAAUCUAGCUCAUCUGUGUUGCUGCCCGCCCUGUGCCAGCAGAACCAUUCAAUUGGAAUAGAAAUCAAGGGAUCAUUAAAUUCAUCCUUCUGCAUUCAGAUUCAGAAAAGCCUGAAUUUGCAAAAAGUUUGUUUCGAUCAUCAUAGGCAAGGUGAAAUAGAAAGUCGAAGAAAUCAUCUCGGUCAUUACGAGUCCUCAAGUAGUUGCUUUUUGUACUUUGAAUAAAGACUUUAGUCAUAGUAGGAGAGAUAGACUGUAAUGGACUUACUUCACGAUGGCUGCACCAGAGGUUCCAAGAACGAUGGCUUUCAACUUCAACCCACAUCUAAAACACACCACUGUAGCCACACCCUACACCCUGUGGUUAUCCAGUUGUGAGUCCUAUUGGAGAGAUGAGGAAGAAUAUCAUGAAUUUAGCUGGUAUUAGAAAGUAGAACUUGGAAAAUAGAGUGUAACUGGAAAAUGAAGGGACUUAACUGAGACAAACAGCCUCUUCUUAUCCAUUUUUAAAAUGUUCAGAUUUAACUAGAUGACCAUGACCAUGAAGAACUUCUCAAGCUCUUUGGUUCUACAGGUGUAUGACAGUUUCCUGGAGGGGGUCAUAUGGAUCUACUACUACCUUCCCACUGACAUUAGGCAGAUGUUCAUUAGAUUGGUUUGAUAGAUGUAAUGGUUAAUAUUGAGUGUCAACUUGAUUGGAUUGAAGGAUGCAAAGUAUUGUUCCUGGGUGCGUCUGUGAGGGUGUUGCCAAAGGAGAUUAACAUUUGAAUCAUUGGACUGGGAGAGGCAGACCCACCCUCAAUCUGGGUGGGCACAAUCUAAUCAGCUGCCAGCAUGGCCAGCAUAAAAGCAGGCAGAAGAAUGUGGAAGGAGUAGACUGGCUCAGUCUCCUGGCCUACAUCUUUCUCCCACGCUGCAUGCUUCCUGCCCUCGAACAUUGGACUCCAAGUUCUUCAGUUUUGGGACUCUUGAACCUUUGACCACAGACUGAAGGCUACACUGUUGACUUCCCUACUUUUGAGCUUUUAGGACUCGGACUGGCUUCCUUGUUCCUCAGCUUGCAGACGGCCUAUUGUGGGACCUCACUUUGUGAUCAUGUGAGUCAAUACUCCUUAAUAAACUCUCCUUUAAAUAUACAUCUAUCUUGUUAGUUCUGUCCCUCUAGAGAACCUUGACUAAUACGAUAGGGAAGCCAUAGUGACUGUCACUAAUAUUCUAAUAAAAGAAUUAUUAUCUAUGCCAACUCUGGAGAGCCACAGGUAAGCUAUACAUAGAUCAAAGUGUAAACCAGGGGUUCUCUGAGUGUGAUUCCUGGACCAGCAGUAUGUGGUGACAUUUGAAAUGCAAAUUCUUGGGCCCCACCUCAGACCACUGAAUUAGAAACUCCAGAGGUGGAGCUCAGCAGUUUGUUUUAACUAGUUCUCCAGGUGAUGCUGAGGCACAUCACAGUUGGAAAUGGUGAGGUAAGUAAGGAAUUUCAGCAGUUCAACUGCUGAAAUGUAGAUCUUAACAAAGUGCUAAAUGAAUAGAGGAAAAAGGGAUAAUUAUCUGAGACAUUUGGAUCUUGUUUCACGAAUAGGAGUUCAGAUGAAGUUAGGGAGGUCUUUUGAAGUAUAGGAAACAAGACAUGCAAAGACUGGGGAGGUUAGGAAGACCAGACCUAUUUCAAGAUAUACAAUGGCCUAGUGGGGCUUGAGGUAGCAGGGUGCAUUCUUUUUCUUAGAUAUGCUUCCUCCUCUCUGCUCCAUGGUGCCACACAUGAUGCUGGUGAUAAAGGAGACUGAGCGAGGGUAAAGAUUCACAGUGCCAGCAAGGGCUUGGACAUUGGCAGCCUAUGGAUCAAAUUGUGCUUGCAGAUGGGCUGUAUUUGGUAUUUUAUUGUACAAACACUAUGUAUUUGGCAUAGCAUUAUACAAAUAAAUGUGAACUAACAUUUAAUAAUCAGUUUGGAUGUAUAUAUGUGUAUAUAUAUUAUGUAUAAAUAACAUAUAUGCUAACACAAAAAUAUAUGUGCUAUAUUUAUAUUCUAUACAAAUAACAUAUAAAUAUAUGUUAACAUAUAAAAAUAUAUG